CGGGUGCAGUCUUAUCGUUUCUUUAACAACCGCUUGCAAAUAAGGGAGGUUUGGUAAUUCCGUUUCUUCAAUCAACCUUUUUUGUCCUACCACGCAAUCGAUUUCUCCUCUCAGUCUCUCAAGAACGUUACGGUUUUUUAUGAUCUCUGUCAUUGCCCACUGUGUUGUUUUCACCGAGUUAUCAGUACCUGCAAAUAAAAGAUCCUGCAAGUUGCAAAACGUUUUAUCUUAUAAGCAGAACACUUUUGAUUCUCAAUGAAACUACUACUUGAUGGGACGAGCAUUUACCGCGAUAACCGACUUGAUAUGGUUCCUUGUGAUCAUAUACUCUGCAUUUUCAUUACGAUGAGCUUCCAACAACGCGUCCAUCAAGUCCGUACCUUGAUGAUGCUCGUCUAGUUUCUUUUCGUGUUCUACAAGAAUCCUUUCGAGCAGCUCACUGAAUCUGUCGGAAACUACCUUUGUUUCCUUACUAAACAGUGAGACAACAAGCUUCUUAAACCCCGCACGCAACGUGUUUGCAAAGAAAAGCUUUUUUGUCAAAACAUCUAACUCGGUAGCCAAAGCCUUGAAACUCUCUUCUGAACAACUUCUCCCCAUGAUCAUCUUGCUGAUGGUGUAGUUAGUGAGCGUCAAAGUUUCAUUACUGAUCUCCACGCUCUCCUUAUUCAUGGCUUUGUCGAAGAUGUUCAUAUAAUACCGCUCUAGCUCAUCUGCACGGACACCACGUGACCUCUCGUGCGCUUGAGGUCCAAGAAAGUUUGUUACCAGGACCUUCUUCAUGAACUUCCAGUAAUCUCCAUAGGGAGCGGAGAUGAAGCUGAAAGCUCCGGCAAAAAGGGCAUCAUCGGUCGGAGUGAAGCCACGAUACGAAUUAUUCACGUCGUGCGUCCUGAAGAUCUCAUAAGCAACUGAGGCUGAGGAGACGAGGACUACAGGGAAACUGAAGACGCGGAGAUAGAGAAUAGGUCCGUACUUGGAGGAGAGUUUCUGUAAAGAUCUGUGGAUUAGAACAGAGAGGAGAAGGUGAAGAUGACCGAUGAUCGGAAGAGAGGGAGGACUCGGUGGCAGAUCAAAGCCACCACGUCUUGACCCGCUUGGUUUCUUGAAAAAGAGAUAGUAACAGAGGAGUGAGAAGAGACAUAAGAGGAUGAAGAUGAAACAGUUUUGAAAGCCAACGCUGAUAAACGCUGCCAUUAUUGCUCCGAAGUGAAGAAAGAGGCAAAAAUUACAAAGAGAAAUGAGCUUAUAAAGAAUCCACGAAUUUGAUAUGAGGGCAUGAUUUGUUUACUAUAGAACAAGACAAGUUCUUCCUUUUUCGAAAAUCUUGGAAGUGUAAUGGAAAUUGGCAAUAAUCUCUCUUUGCUAAGAAAGUAAAUGUCACAAAAUUCAUAGGAUGAAAGUUUAGGUUUUUACAUAGUUUAAGACCUAGGGUGUACAUAGUGCUCAUGGCCUAAAGUAAAAAGUGAAACUUUAUCGAGAAUCUAUGAAUAUUAAUGUAUAAAGUAAAACUGAAUCAUAUAUCAAGUGUCAUUUUUAAGAAAAGAGUAAAACUAAAUCAAUUUCUUCACUUUUGAAAAAUGACACUUGGUAUAUGAUUGAAUGCUUAAAGAAAUUAUUAGACAAGAGCUUUACACUAUGUAGUAUAUGAAUUACAAGAGUGAUAAAGGCACCUUUUAAUUAAUGUACAAUAUAUAAUAGCUUUCAUUCACAUAAUCAUUUGGUUUAGAUUGGUUUUGUUGAUUUUCUUUUUUGUUUAACCACUAUACAAUUAGAUUGUAUAAUCUUUUGGCUUCCAUUGUAUGGCCAUGCUUUGUUUAUUAAUUACUAGAAGAAAAGUUUUUCUUUUUCUUUUGGAAAAUCUAGAAGUUGAAGGUAAAAAGCAAAAUUUCACAUCGUUGCAAAUAGGAGAAGAACGAAAUCGACCUUAAAAGUCGCGACUUAAACUCGGAGAACAAUAGUUUUUACGGUUUCACACAAAAAACCAAAAGUAACCAACUAAACAGAAUUCAUGAACUCACGAACUGAAAUUCUGCAGAUUCGAAUUUAAAGGUUGCAUUCGAGCAACAGGAGUACACCUAAGAGGAUGAGCCAUGUUUAUGGUCAUUCCAGCAACAGUCUCUUCCAUGUUAACCUUGUCUUCUUUGAUUCUCCAGUCAAAGCAAUGCACCAUCAUUCCUAUUGCGGUUCCUACAAAUAUAUAACCUAUAUUUUCUCCAGGGCAUCCUCUUCUUCCGCUGCCAAAAGGAAGGUACUUUAGGGUUUGCUCUCUCUCCUCUUCUGGUCCUCUUGAAGAAGCUAGAAACCUCUCUGGCUUAAACUCAUCCGGAUCUUCCCAAGAACUAGGAUCUCUCAUCACGGCAUAAGCGUUAACUACAAGAGUUGUGUUCUUUGGUACGUAAAAGCCUCCAAUCAUACAUUCCCUUAUGACUUUCCUUCCCAAGAGAGGCCCUGGUGGGUGCAAUCUUAGCCCUUCCUUGAUGACCGCUUGCAAAUAAGGGAGGUCUGGUAGAUCCUUCUCCUGAAUCAACCUUGUUUUACCUACAACGGAAUCAAUUUCGUUUCUCAAUCUCUCAAGGAUGUUAGGCUUAUUAAUGAUCUCUGCCAUUGUCCACUCAAUUGUUUGCACUGAGGUGUCAGUGCCUCCAAGGAUAAGCUCCUGUUGUCAGAAUACUCAGAAAAAUCAAUGAUGUUGUAUUGGAUUCUCAAAUGAAUGCACUUACUAAAAAAGAAAAUUUAC
This 2740-nucleotide long non-coding RNA is filed under the name Capsella grandiflora. RNAcentral describes it as "long non-coding RNA (CGRA_LNC001023)". Lineage: Eukaryota; Viridiplantae; Streptophyta; Magnoliopsida; Brassicales; Brassicaceae. The record is from RNAcentral.